Molecule: ribosomal RNA, 651 nt
Filed under: Dipsacomyces acuminosporus
Lineage: Eukaryota; Fungi; Kickxellomycota; Kickxellomycetes; Kickxellales; Kickxellaceae
Description: eukaryotic LSU rRNA
Rfam family: Eukaryotic large subunit ribosomal RNA
Source: RNAcentral
UAACAAGGAUUCCCCUAGUAACGGCGAGUGAAGCGGGAACAGCUCAAGACCAGAAUCCCCUCGCAAGGGGGGAGUUGUAGUCUAUGGACUGCCUCUCUGUAGGUGGCCGGCUUAGUAAGUCUCCUGGAACGGAGCGCCAGAGAGGGUGAUAGCCCCGUCUCUUUGCUGGUCACUUGCUCUAUGUGAGGUAGUUCGCGAGUCGGGUUGUUUGGGAAUGCAGCCCUAAUCGGGAGGUACGCACCUUCCAAAGCUAAAUAUUCAGGCAAGAGACCGAUAGCGAACAAGUACCGUGAGGGAAAGUUGAAAAGCACUCUGGAGAGAGAGUGAAAAGCACGUGAAACCAUGGGUAGGGAACCGCUUGCACGGUACACUGAGCUGCUGGUCUUUUGCCAGUAGCCGCCUAGCACCAGUUUGAUUCGUGCCGGAAAAAGCCUAGGGCAAGGUAGCGACACUUCGGUGUCGUGUUAUAGGCCCUGGGCAUAUACGGCAUAACGGACUGAGGACUGCGGCAUCUCCAUUUGGGGCGCCGGCUUGGAUGGGCCUUACCACUGGGGCUGUAGAGACAGCAUGCUGACUCUACGGUACCCGGGGGGAGACUCCUAUUCUUGCUGGUGUUAUGCCAAGGGUGGCUGGGAAGUGCCGAACAGACGA